GCGUGCGGCACCCAGCAGCCACCGCGCGGCAGGGCCGCCGGCGCUUGCGCACGUAGGCGUCAUUUCCGCGCCGUCUGUUUUGGCUCCCAGCGCCCAAUCCUAAAACGCGACCCCUGGCCCCACCCUCGGCUGAGGAGCCAGACCCAGGCUGUCAGGAGCCGCGCAGGCGCGGAGGAGCAGCAGUCGCAAGCUGAGAUGUGCAGUGCGUUUUAAGUUCGCGUCAUCCCUCCGCGGUUCCGAGACCCAAGCUUCUACCGAGUUUCUUGGGGUGAGAAAAGUUUGGGGAACAACCCUUCCAGGGCUCUUGUGGUCCUCUCAUCCUGACAGGGAAAAGAAGAGAGAAGUUAGUAGAACAGACUACAGCCCUUGUUGCUGCAGGACGUGACAAAGCUACAACUGUCUGUCUUUCCCACUCAGUGUCCAUGAUGCAUUGCUGCCAGCUGAUUUUUGUGGCCAACACAUCGUACAGUAACUGCCCAGUAAGCCACACUCUGUACAAUCCUCUCUCCCUGAGCACACGUGACAUCUGUGACUUGCUUCUAAUCAGGAGAAUAUGGCAACAGUGAAGGACUGUCACUCCCUUCAUUAGGUUACUAUCUACAGAUUUAUCUGUAUCUAUCCAUAUCUAUAGCUAUGUAACUCCAACUUUCUUGCACACACACUAGAGAGAUCCUUUUUGCUGGCUUUGAAGAAGUGAGCUGCCAUGCAGUGCAAGGCCUUUGGUAAGGCUCAGGUGGCAAGGAGCUGUAGGUGGCCUGUAGGACCUGAGUGUCCUUAGUCAUUUAUCCACAAGGACAUGAAUCAGAUUUAAAUUCUUCCCAAGCGGGGCUUCCAGAUGAGAUUGCAGUGUGGCUGACCUCUCAACUGUAGCCUUGUGUGAUCACGAGCAGAAGACCCAGUUAAGCUGUGCCUGAACACCUUUCCCAUGGAAACUGUGAGACAAUAAAUGUGCAUUGUUUGAAGUCACUAAUUUCGUGGAAAUUUGUUUUACAGCAA
Acinonyx jubatus (cheetah) is the source of this 996-nucleotide long non-coding RNA. RefSeq lists it as uncharacterized. The record is from RefSeq and is a predicted model, not a curated record. The transcript is spliced from 3 exons. Lineage: Eukaryota; Metazoa; Chordata; Mammalia; Carnivora; Felidae.